RNAcentral lists this long non-coding RNA (725 nucleotides) under Nicotiana benthamiana. RNAcentral's name for it is "long non-coding RNA (NBEN_LNC021310)". The record is from RNAcentral. Lineage: Eukaryota; Viridiplantae; Streptophyta; Magnoliopsida; Solanales; Solanaceae.
CGAAACCUAGACUAUACCUAUAUAAACACAAAAAAACGCCUAAAGGUGGGGGGGAUCAGAUCUAAACCGUGUCGAGGGAACUACACAAAAAUCGGCAGAAAAUGCAGCCGGCACACUCCAUCUUCAACGAUGCCCGAACCCAUCUGAAAAAAUGAGCAUCAAAAACCAUUGCGUCCAUGGUAGUUCUUCCUCAAAGCAGCGUGCAAUUGAGUUGGAGUCGAGUUGAGUUUGCCGACGAGUUUUCCAAUCGCGGGACACUAAAUCUUUGGCAAAAGAUCGAGCACCGCGAAAGAACAGUGAAGAAUAUUACUGGUAUCAUCAAGUUAUUCGUUGUAUUAAUUUAGUUAAUUUUAAAUGAUAUUUAAUUCUGUUUGUGCAAUUGGAGUGUUUACUGUAUGCAUCGGAUCUAUUUGUCGUCUUCUUCUUCUUUGUAUUCUGCUUAUGAAUUAUGUUUUAUUUUAAAUGAUAUUUUAUUCUGUUUUGUACAAUUCGAGUGUUUACUGUAUGCUUCGGAUCUAUUUGUCGUCUUCUUCUUCGUAUUCUGCUUAUAAAUUAUGUUUGUUCUCUUCCUUUGGUUUUUCAUUUCAAUUGUAUUACUUAGGCCUUACUUAAAUAACAAAUUAUGCUUUGAGAACUAGCAGACUUCUUUUGAGAGUAAUAACGAGAUUGGAAAACUCUUGUUUUUUUAGUAAAAUAUCGGUAAAACCACUUCCAAUAAACUUGUU